Molecule: non-coding RNA, 5043 nt
Organism: Vicugna pacos (alpaca)
Lineage: Eukaryota; Metazoa; Chordata; Mammalia; Artiodactyla; Camelidae
Source: RefSeq, a predicted model, not a curated record
CCAUCCGCCGUGAUGGGCCGUUACCACCCUCUAAAGGAGCCCGGGAAGAAGGGAUGCGGCCCCAGCGGGGACUGCACAGAACUGAGCGCACAGCCGUCGUCUAGACCAGCGUAACUGUCCGGAGCUCUGCAGAGGGGUACCGAAAUGUGGGAAGAGUGACUACACUUUCCCAAGCCGUGGUUUAGAAUGUCUGGGGGAUUGUGAAAUCGGCUUGGUGGAUGGAGUCCCCGACUUUUUUUUUUUUAAUGAAAGGGAAGAAUAGAACACAGUAGAGAAAUCUGAGUGCAUCUCGUGUGACGGAGUUGUUCCGAUAAAUUUUUACUCCAGGCUUGAAUCUGUCUGCCCCGGGGAGUGAUGCAAAAUGUAUUUCUUAAUAUAAAUCUUACCAAACGAAAAGCUUGAGAAACACUGUUCUUUGCAAAGAAACAUUUAAACACAACAGGCGUGCAUUGUAUUAGUGCUGGCCUUACUCCCGGAAUUAGAAGGGCGUUACAGAUUACAGCAUUCUUCUGUCGGGCCCUGGAAUACAGAAAUCCUUAUCCUUAGCAUUUAGACUAGCAUGUGUACAGUGCCUAGCGAGUCCCUGUCCUCAGCUGAGGAAACCAGAGAAAAGCAAGUGUGUCAGAAAGUAAGAACAUAAACCUCGCAUAAUACACACACAUUAAGUAGCCCACAUUAACGUAACCCACAAAACAAUUUACUCAGUGUCUUCUCUAAAAAUAGGUAGUUGCCUAACACAGAUUACAAAAAUCACAAGGACCCCAGAUAUAGUAGUAUAUGGGUGUGUGUGCGUGUAGCUGUGUUCAACUGUCUAAAUUUUGCUAAAGUAAAACUUACAAAUUCGUCAUUUGCUAUGUUGAUACUUUCAUUAUCUCUUUAACAGGUAAUUAGGUCUAUUGGGCACCGAGAAUACGAUGAUGAACAAAUCACAGUCUCUAUUCUACAGAGGCUGGUAGAGAAGAAAAAACAUGAAAAAAGAAUUAUAAAUGUGGAAAGUACCACAAUAGGGGUAUGCACAAGGCACUGGGACAGCACAAAAGAAAAAGGUGCUUCAUUUUGAAAUUUUCAGUUAAGGUUUGAUACAGAAGGUGAUUUUGUAGCUGAGUCGGAAAGGACCAAGGGAGUCACUUGGGAAGACAAGAGAGGAAGUGGGGAAAUUACUAACUUCACUAAUAAAUUGCACAGUACUAUGAAAGUGUUAGGAACCUUGGGAUAAAAUGACUGUAUCAUCUUGGAGUUUGUAGCAGUAAAGGAAAUGCAGCAUGCAAGAUUAGUGCAAAAUAUAUCUAUUUAGUAAAUUGAUUAUAUUUCAAAGGAAAGAUAUUUAGGAAGUAGACUAUAGGUGAAAGAUAAGAAUGACUCACUGGACAAGAUAUUCCAAAAGGUACCCUUGUUCAAGAAGCAUGAGUGAUUCUUAAAAAAUGAAAUUAGGUAAUAUGAGCUCAAAUAAUUUUGCUGCUCAUAAAGCCCAUUAGAUAAAGACCAUCAGGAGCAAACCUGUAACCCAGCAAGGUUAGGUUUAUUGCCACAGCAAACACCACCACACAGCAGAGGAACCGUGCGCAUGUCUCCAAAAAACAGAAGAAAUGGGGAUCAUUAUAGUGUUGGGGGAAGGGAAGAGUUUAGGUAGAUUCUAAAUGAAAUAGUGCUUAACAGACUCAGAGCAAAUCAGAUCUGUGUGCAAAGGGAUUAAUAUCAAAGCUGGGUGAGAAUCAGACUAAAGACUCUAUUUCCUUGAAAGAUAAAUUUAAGAUUAAUGUAGAAUAUUGUGUCUCCAGGCGCCUUAUCUGAACCUCUGCACUGAAAAUUGAGGCUGCUUCUCUAAGUUAAAGUGGCUUGGGUGGUUUACAUCCUCCAGGCAAGAAAGGAAUGUUCUGUUCCUACUAAUAUGAGUUCCAGACAAUGAAGUUUCCAUCAACCUAGGAUUUUAGAAAGUUCCUUAGCACUGUGUCCUUUGAUGACUACCCAAAGCAAUUUUUCAGAUUCACACUUUACAAUACUAAAUAAUUAAGAAAAAAUGUGAUUUUUAUUGGGAGAUCUCAAGGAGCUUUAAUUUUUAAAGAAUCUGAACUGCUAACAAGGGAGAGGAGACCGGUAUAUGGAGUUAGGGAAUGUAGGAAGCCUCUUGAAGAGAUGUUGUGUCAGCCAGCCUCCAACACUGUCCCUAAUAAUCCUUGCUUCCUGGUGUUCAUGCCUUUGUGUAAUCUCCCUCAUGUGAGGGCUGAUCUGUGUGCACAAGGGAGUACAGCAGAGGUGACGGUAUGUGACCCCUGAGACCCUUGAGCACUGUGGCUCCCGCCUUGGUCUCCUGAAUUGCUUGCUCUCAGGGAAGCCAGCUGCCACACAGAACAGUCAGACAGCCCUGGGGAAGACUCGAGGACACCCACCAGGAGCCAGCUCCGCGUUGCUAGCCUUGGGAGCAGGUCUUGCGUCCCCAGUCAAGCCUUAGGUGCCUGCAGCCUCAUAAACAACCCCGAGCCCAAACACUCGCCGCAGGUGUUGCACUCCUGACUCACACCCACUGUGGGAGAUAAUAAGUGCUGAUCAUUGUUCUCAGCUAUGAAAUUUUGGGGUCAUUUGUUCUACAACUGAUGUGACUUGAUCCAAGCCUUAAAAAACAGGUAGACAAAAGGGGCUUUAGGAGAAGAUGUAAUAGGGACAAAGCUAUUGAGACAAGAAGGUACAAAGCAGAUUCUGGAAGACGAUCAAGUCUGGUGUGGAUGGAGGUUCGAGAAGAGGUGUGAGAUGGAGAAAAGGAUGAAAUGUUUCAUGGAAGUCAACUUGUGGAAGAUCUGAAACACCAAGUUAACCAGAGUUGGUGUAUCCUCAGACCCUGCAGAGUGUUGGCACAGAGCAGACACUACCUGCAUAGGAGACCUUGGAUGAAGCUGGGGAUCUUCUGACCUGGCAUCCAGCUAACCUGGUACACUGUGCAGUUAAAGAACCCUGCUCUCCUCCAUACUUGGGCAGGAUCUAUUUAUUCUCUUUAAACCCCAGUCUUAGUUUAAGCUUUAACAGUCAAAAGUCAUGAAGCCACCCUACCAAGCCCUGCUGAAGCGGUGAAGCAUAAAGCUUGCUCCGGGAACGGGAAAGGAAAAGGGAAAAUGAUAGGGGGAAAACAUACACUGGCAUCUCAAGAAAUUAUCCCGCUACACAUGCAUGGGGAACCUACCUACAGGAAAUUCAAAAAAAAAAUCACUGAAGGAGAAACCAGAUACCAAUGAAAGUGGUGGCACAGAAGAGUGGGAGGAAGUAGCGUGGAAAGAAUGUGAAGAGAGUAUCACUUCUCUGAGGACAUUUUUUGACUUGUGAAAUUAUGUUUAUGUUCUACAUUCUCAAAAAUUAAAUUCAACCACUGAGAAUGGGGGGAAAAAUGAAAAACUGAAAGCAAAAAACCCCCAAAUUAACCUUUCAAAUGAAUACCAUAACCACAUUGGAAAAAGAAUAAGGAAAGAAAGAGUCAAGGAAGGAAAGAAGGAAGGAAGGAAGGGAAAGAAGAAAGGAAGCCAAUAACUAAUAAAGAAACAUUUGAGUACACACCCUCUGUCUUGGGCAGGGCGGAGGGUAGGAAAGAAUUGCAAGUGAAUCCUCAGCCCGUUUUACAGAUUUGUUCAUUGUAGUAGUAAGGGCAAAUACUGAAGCUGUUUUAGGAUAUAUUAUAGGAUUGAACAGAUGUAUUGAUGUUCUUGGGAGCUAGAGAGCUCACAGAGGAAGAAGGGACAUACAAAUACAGAUUGGAAGAAGACAAGACAGAACCCUGAGAGGAUGGAUUGGAACUGGAUGUCUCAGUAACAGCUUAUGGAAGGAAAGGGGAGAGGACGGAAGAGGAGGAGGAGCUGCCGGACACCCCUGGGUAGGUGCUGCCUCCGUGGCGAAGCUUCGCGGGGUGGCCUGGAGAACAAGGUUGGAUGCAGUGUUUCUGUGAAGCAGCCCCGAGCGAGAAGCGCCUGCGAGUAACUGCAGUCGGUGUUCUGGUAAAGGAUGAACGUUAGAGUUCACUGUGGAGAUUCUGUCGUCAGGUCCAAGGGGGGGAAAGGGAAAGACUGAGUAAUUACUAGAGCUUCCGUACACAGUAGUGUAUCUCAUUUUAUUCCCGAACCAGCCCUGCGAGACACAUACUAUCAGCCUCCUUCUACAGCUGGGGAAACUAAAGCUACGGGACACAAAGGAACUUGCCCAGGGUCACACAGUCAGUAACUGGAGAAGACAGAAUUGGAACCUAGCUGAAUGUGCCCUCCGAGUUUGCGCUCUUAACCACAACACAAAAAGUCGGCAGCUGCGCAGACACAGGAACCAAGAAGACAAAGAAAGGAUAGGCAGGAAUACUGUGGGAGGGAGCAGCGUUUGCCUCUGGUGCCUGAGAUUCACUGCUAAUGGCUGCAACCACACACACCUACAGAAGCAGUUUGUCCCCAAUUCCAGGGCCAAUUUUCCAGCCAGCUCUGUCCUGUGCAGGCCUGGAGUUCGGCAGAGUCGAGGCUGCUUGGAUGGAGAUUGGGAACCCUUCCACCACGACAGAGUGGUGUCUGGAAGGGGUGUGCUGCUCUCAGACCUGCCGGCAAGAGUACUGUUUCUACACUGGCUAAAACAACUGAAAAACUAGAGAAGAACAAACUGAUUUUCAAAGCCUCGUGUUCCUUGGGUUACCCUUCCCAACUUCCCUGUCGCAGGUGGCAUCUAAUGUGCCUUCCCCAGAAGCUAUCUCGUGUCCAAGCUCUGCUCCCCCCCCGUGCCAUCUUCCUCUCUCCUCCUCUGUGAAGACUUGCCCCUUUAAAACCGGAUCCUCUGAGGAUCCAAAUGCAAAACUCCUAAUUCUGUUUCUAAAUUAACUGGAGGAAAUAAACUAGAAGGAAAGAUUAAAGUAGCAACUGCCCUUGAUUUUUCAUAAUAGACAAACAUACUCUAAAAUUCUUAGGAGAAAACUUGCUUUCUAUUUCUGUCAGUCUGUUUGUUGAAGCUUUUUGGUAAGUCACCCAUUCUGUUCAAAAGGGGGAAAUUUUGUUUUAAAUAAAAUUUAAGUUAAGGGGCACUCUUAAAUUAGAA